GGGCUCCCGGCCUGGGCCUCCUGGGUCUCCGGGACGCACUGCCCAACGGAAAAGUUUUCAGCCCAGUCUGUGCCUCGCCGCCAAGCAGCCCUUGGGGCUUCUCAAAGUGGUAGAGAAAAUAGGACAGCUCUACAGGAUGCCCCAAAGAAAACCCUCAUUUGUCGACCAGGCGACCUUAGUGCUGGCGUGGGACUACAGCUGCGCAGCCAGCAAACCCCAGUUGGGGGAGGGGGAGAAGUGGCAGUAGAGUUCGCAUCUGGGGCUUGCUCUAAAGCGCUCUUUGACUGCUUUUGGAUUCCAUAUUUGAAGUUGAGAGUCGUAUUCCACCUGGUACAGGCAGUUCAGGGCAGGAGAAAAGCCAAGUGAACUCUGUGACUCAAUCCCCUUGGAAUGUGCCUGGAAUAAUAAUAGGGACUUGAAAGGGUUUUAUGGCCGAGGUGGCUAGUGGAGAGCAGUCUCCUACGCCUUGCAGUUGGCGGUCGGCCGAGGGGGGCAGUAUUGCCUUAUGCAGAGCUUCUGCGCCUGCAAACGGGACAAAAAUAGUCGGAGCAUCUGGUUUAAAUCAACCAAAAAGCAUUUCUAUCAGCUUAAUCCACCGGCCUACAGAACUGACAGAACAGGACAAGCCAAAUAUAUUCCCGGUACUCUUUUAACACUCCAAUAAUAGCUAAGCCCAAUCACACUUUACCGCUGGGAUUUCUGUGUCCUACCAUACAACUGUCGUUAUUUUAUAGAUGUUGCAAAUUAAACUUCCUUUUCUGGAGUUGUGUGUGGGCAUGUGCUUAAGCAGUUACAUUUGCAAGCAACGCUCGACUACGCUGCCCUUUUCGUUUUCCUUUUUCUUUCUCUCUUUUGGUAUGAGGUCUUAGAAUAGUCAAAAGUAUCUAAGGCCAACAUAUGGGUUGCUUACACCACUAAAUAUAUAGCUGCAUUUCCCUCUCUUAACGCCCUAAUCAGGAUUCCAAAGGCAAGUUGGAACAAAAGAAAAAACGUGUCUGAGUGUAAAGGGAGAAUUUGUGCCAAGAAUUACAGUCGCAGGGUAAAUAACCUUGUUUUCUCCUUCAUCAGUGGCCGCUACCAAGUCCCGUUCUUGGAAAGUGGCCAACAGUCUGUCUGGUGGAGGGUGCUGCUAAUUAGAGAGAGCCCAUAAACCUC
RNAcentral lists this long non-coding RNA (1155 nucleotides) under Homo sapiens (human). Its description in RNAcentral is "non-protein coding lnc-JMJD1C-14:2". The record is from RNAcentral. Lineage: Eukaryota; Metazoa; Chordata; Mammalia; Primates; Hominidae.